Molecule: ribosomal RNA, 1409 nt
Filed under: Staphylococcus aureus
Lineage: Bacteria; Bacillati; Bacillota; Bacilli; Caryophanales; Staphylococcaceae
Description: bacterial SSU rRNA
Rfam family: Bacterial small subunit ribosomal RNA
Source: RNAcentral
UGGGAUAACUUCGGGAAACCGGAGCUAAUACCGGAUAAUAUUUUGAACCGCAUGGUUCAAAAGUGAAAGACGGUCUUGCUGUCACUUAUAGAUGGAUCCGCGCUGCAUUAGCUAGUUGGUAAGGUAACGGCUUACCAAGGCAACGAUGCAUAGCCGACCUGAGAGGGUGAUCGGCCACACUGGAACUGAGACACGGUCCAGACUCCUACGGGAGGCAGCAGUAGGGAAUCUUCCGCAAUGGGCGAAAGCCUGACGGAGCAACGCCGCGUGAGUGAUGAAGGUCUUCGGAUCGUAAAACUCUGUUAUUAGGGAAGAACAUAUGUGUAAGUAACUGUGCACAUCUUGACGGUACCUAAUCAGAAAGCCACGGCUAACUACGUGCCAGCAGCCGCGGUAAUACGUAGGUGGCAAGCGUUAUCCGGAAUUAUUGGGCGUAAAGCGCGCGUAGGCGGUUUUUUAAGUCUGAUGUGAAAGCCCACGGCUCAACCGUGGAGGGUCAUUGGAAACUGGAAAACUUGAGUGCAGAAGAGGAAAGUGGAAUUCCAUGUGUAGCGGUGAAAUGCGCAGAGAUAUGGAGGAACACCAGUGGCGAAGGCGACUUUCUGGUCUGUAACUGACGCUGAUGUGCGAAAGCGUGGGGAUCAAACAGGAUUAGAUACCCUGGUAGUCCACGCCGUAAACGAUGAGUGCUAAGUGUUAGGGGGUUUCCGCCCCUUAGUGCUGCAGCUAACGCAUUAAGCACUCCGCCUGGGGAGUACGACCGCAAGGUUGAAACUCAAAGGAAUUGACGGGGACCCGCACAAGCGGUGGAGCAUGUGGUUUAAUUCGAAGCAACGCGAAGAACCUUACCAAAUCUUGACAUCCUUUGACAACUCUAGAGAUAGAGCUUUCCCCUUCGGGGGACAAAGUGACAGGUGGUGCAUGGUUGUCGUCAGCUCGUGUCGUGAGAUGUUGGGUUAAGUCCCGCAACGAGCGCAACCCUUAAGCUUAGUUGCCAUCAUUAAGUUGGGCACUCUAAGUUGACUGCCGGUGACAAACCGGAGGAAGGUGGGGAUGACGUCAAAUCAUCAUGCCCCUUAUGAUUUGGGCUACACACGUGCUACAAUGGACAAUACAAAGGGCAGCGAAACCGCGAGGUCAAGCAAAUCCCAUAAAGUUGUUCUCAGUUCGGAUUGUAGUCUGCAACUCGACUACAUGAAGCUGGAAUCGCUAGUAAUCGUAGAUCAGCAUGCUACGGUGAAUACGUUCCCGGGUCUUGUACACACCGCCCGUCACACCACGAGAGUUUGUAACACCCGAAGCCGGUGGAGUAACCUUUUAGGAGCUAGCCGUCGAAGGUGGGACAAAUGAUUGGGGUGAAGUCGUAACAAGGUAGCCGUAUCGGAAGGUGCGGCUGGAUCACCUCCUUU